Cannabis sativa is the source of this 104-nucleotide small nucleolar RNA. Lineage: Eukaryota; Viridiplantae; Streptophyta; Magnoliopsida; Rosales; Cannabaceae. The record is from RefSeq and is a predicted model, not a curated record.
AUACCAUGGUGAGGCACUUUCGAUCAAAUCUUUAAACCUCUCCCAAGCCUCAUGGAGAGAUUCAUUAUCUUGUUGGCAAAAGUUAUUAAUUUCUCCUCUCGCCU